CGAGACCUCCAUACCAUACACCCUGCAUACCAUACACCCUGCAUCCCACUGCUGGCUUGCCUCUGAAGCUAAGUAGGGUUGGUCCUAGUCGGUCCCUGGAUGGGAGACCAGAUGCUGCUGGAAGUGGUGUUGG
This is a ribosomal RNA of Hucho hucho (huchen), 133 nucleotides long. Lineage: Eukaryota; Metazoa; Chordata; Actinopteri; Salmoniformes; Salmonidae. The record is from Ensembl.